This 3299-nucleotide long non-coding RNA is filed under the name Sus scrofa (pig). RNAcentral's name for it is "lncRNA (ENSSSCG00035001733.1)". Lineage: Eukaryota; Metazoa; Chordata; Mammalia; Artiodactyla; Suidae. The record is from RNAcentral.
UUUCUUGCCCUUUUUGGAGGUUUAAGGUCUUCUGCCAGUGUUCAGUGGAUGCUCUGUGUGAACUGUUCUACAUGUAGAUUUCUUUUUUUUUUAUGUGUUUGUGGGAGAAGGUGAGUGCCAUAUCUUACUCCUCUGCCAUCUUGAUCCCGCCUCACUCCCAAUACCCGUUCAUGAUUAAAAAAAUCACUCAGCAAGCUGCAAAGAAUGUAUAAGUUUUGAUGAAUUCCUUCUUUUAAAUUUAUUCAUACAAAAUCUACAAAACAUUAUUGAAAAACUGAAGAUGAUCUAGAUAAAUAGAACAACAUCUUGUGCUCUUAAAUUGGAAGAUUCAACUUGUUAAGACCAAAAUACUCCCCAAAUUGGUUGUUAGAUUCACAGAGAUCCCUUUCAAAAUUUCAAUUGCUUUUCUUAAAGGUGUGUACAAGCUAAUACUAAAUUAUUAUAGAAAUGUGAGGGACCCGAAAUAGUCAAAAUAUUCUUGAGAGAGCCACAGCAACACGGGAUCCGAGCCAUGUCUGCAACCUACACCACAGCUCAUGGCAAUGCAGGAUCCUUAACCUACUAAGCGAGGCCAGGGACCAAACCCGCAACCUCAUGGUUCCUAGUCGGAUUGUUUCCACUGCGCCAUGAUGGGAACUUCCUGAAAUAAGACCAUUUUGGAAAAUCAGUGGCAGUGCCACUUCGGUAUUUGAGUUGAGUUCCCAUCGUGGCGUAGUGGUUAACGAAUCCGACUAGGAACCAUGAGGUUGCGGGUUUGGUCCCUGGCCUUGCUCAGUGGGUUAAGGAUCCGACGUUGCCGUGAGCUGUGGUGUAGAUCGCAGACUCGGCUCAGAUCUGGCGUUGCUGUGGCUGUGGUGUAGGUCGGCCGCUGUGGGAUCCGAUUAAACCCCUAGCCUGGGAACCUCCACAUGCCGCUAGUGCAGCCCUGAAAAGACAAAGAUAAAAUAAAAUAAAAUAAAAUAAAAAAAUCUUAUUUCAAUUUAAAUCUUAUGACUUCUGGAAAAUUUAGGGUAUGCAAAAAUGUUUCAGAAUUCUUGUGUUUAUGUAUUAAGUGAUCGUGUUAGGGUUCAGAUGUUUAAAAAUUGGUUUUUCACUUAUGUGUUUGUCUGAUAGAGUGUUCAAAAGCCACGCGGGAUGGAAGCCAAUUCUCUUUUGUGUGGGAAUCCCCCAUUCAGGGCAGGACAUCAAACAUCCCUGCCUCCUGUCAAAUAAAUGUAAAUAGCAAUAAAUAUAAAGAUGUGGUUUGUAUUUGUUUGCCUGCUUCUUGAGAUCAAUGAAAAGUGACUCUGGAGACACAGCUCCUAGCAAAAAUUGAUUUGGAAAAUUUGAAGGGCUGCUGAUGUCUCAGAUUAAAAUCUCAUUAAUUUAAGAUAAAAGGGCUUAAAUACAGGAUUUAAAAAUUAAUAGUGUGCUAUUAUUAAGGAGGAGUAGCUGAAGAAUAACAGCUGCUUACCAAUAUUGACUUAAUUACAGUUUAUUAUAAUCAGUUCUGGCACUAGCAGCUUAUAAAACCUUCUAUUGACAACUUUUAAAAGAACAAUGAAAAUCCCAAAGGGCUGCAUUUCCCUUUGAAUUAAAGUGCCCAUGGUAAAAAUUUGACUAAAGUAAAAUUUACUUAAUAUGUAAAUAUUUAUUCCUUCGCACAACUAUUGUCCCUUUCCCCAAGAAAAUUAUUUGAAAUCUAAAUAGAAAUCUGUAGACUUCGUUAUGAUUUUCCAGCAUACUUUGAAACAUUGAGUGAGUCAUGUUGGUUUGGAGGAGAUUCCAACUCAAUAAUGCAAUUUACCAUAUUUUAAUUUUGGCAAAGAAUGUUCACCCUGUUAUUUGAAAAAGACAAUAUUGUCAGUUCUAUCCUUAGCACUGACAUAGAACUCUCAAUUCUUUUAGGUCAGUAUCUUAAUAGAAAAAUCUAGCAAAAAAAUAUAUGAGCGAAAUAAUUCAUUGACUUAUAGUAAGAUCUGCCGUAUUUAAAUCAACAAUACAAGAAAUACCAAGGGACUUAUAUCUAAUUGAUUUAUACUCAAACUGUUACAUAAUAAGAGAAGCAAACUUGUGAAGGGAAUAUUAUAAGGACAAAAUAUGGUCAGUGCAGGGACUGAGCUUAAAGAAGAUGACUCAGAAAACUUUUUGUGGUAAUGGAAAUGUUCUAAACCUUUGUUGCAGUGAUGCUUAUAUACAUCUGGAAAAAUCAUAGAACUACACAUCUAAAAAGAGUGAGUUUUACUAUAUACAAUAAUAACUUAAAAAGACAGUUUAGGGGGAGGAUGCACUUGCUGGAGUUUGCUCAAUGACUCAACACUAUCAGGGCUAGUUUUGUGUUAUGACUUUUGUGGUUAUUCAAUAGAAGUCUAUACAGCCUACGAGAUGCAGCUAAAGCAGUGCUUCAGGAGAGAUAUACAGCCCCAAAUGUGUCUUUUAAAGAAGAAAUACUAAAAAUUAAUAAAUCAAAAACAUCUCUCAAGGGAUUAGAAAACUAACAGCAAAAUAAAUGUAAAAAUAAUAGAAGGAAAUAAUCAAGAAGAGAUUCAUCAAAAGAAUCAGCAAAGCCGAAGUUAGUUAUUUGAGAACAAAAAUAAAAUUGAUAAACUUCUAUUGAGAUUAAUUUUCUUACAAAAAGAAAGAGGAGGAGAAAAUACUUAAUAUCAGUUUCUCCAGAGGUUAUAUGAUGUUUUACAGCCAAAAAAAAGUUCUUAUUGGAGACUGAGAAGAGCUAGAAUAGAAUGCGAGAGUUUUCUCCUAGUUAAACUGUGGGGAGGUAUAUCUCCUCCUAAAUCAAAUCCUUGUUUAUUCAUUUGUCCCUCUAAGUGCCCAAGGAUUUGGAUAGUCUGCCUAUCUUUCUAAUCAGCUGUGUUAGAACAAGCUAAGUAAUGCUAUAAUAACAACCACAAUCUCAGAAGGUUAAAACACCAAAUGUUUAUUUCUUGUUCAUGUUACAUGCCCAUUUCAGCUUGCAUUGUCCUUGUCCUUACUCUAAAAUCCAGGCUGGAAAAGCAGCUUCCAGGUAGAGGACUCCCUAUCACAAUGGUAGAGGGAAAAGAAAGAAUAGCUACAGUGAGAAUGGUGUCCUAGGGCUGCAGCCUGGAGGUCACAAAGAACAUUUUUCAUCCAUAUUUUAUUAGCCAGUGCAAAUCACUUGGUACAGCCUAACUUCAAUUAUGCAAGGAAAUAUAAUCUUUCACCAAUGAGUGAAAAAUAUAUCGAGGAACAUAACACAGUCUAAUACAGCAGACAUUCAAUGAAAUUUUCCUCUCCUCCUUGACAUAAAACACUCUCUGCUGAAACUCAGAUGAACAUAAAAC